CUGGAUUCCCAGAGGUCAAGAGCUACCAGACCUUUCUGCAGGAACACUGCUUCAACAAGACCACUUCAUCUGGACUGCUACCACCACAGUGUCAGCCAGCACAGAGCCACAUCUACAAGCCUUUUAAAUAUCUCCAGGAAUGACGACACAGCCUGGGCACCCUGUUCCAAUGUUCGACAAUUCUUUCCAUUUUGAAUUUUUUUCUGAUAUCCAACCUAGAAAAGUCACAGUGAACACAUCAGCCAUCAGAAAUGAAACAAGUGGAAUGAGAGGAGAUGAAAAAUCAAGCAUAUAUGUUGUAUCCUCCUUUCUGGAUCUUCAUGAACCCCAGUAAUGUGAUGUGGAAGAAAAAUUUCUAUGCAAUGAAUCUUCUCCUAUAGUUUAAGUUGUCAAGUUAUCACUGUCAAAAGGAAAAGAUCUUAUAAUUGCUAAAGAUAUAGAAUUUAAUUUUCAGAGCAGAAUGAAAGACAUGCCAUUCAUGAAAGGCCUUUUCCCUGAGCUUGUUUAAGAAACAAUGUCAUUGCAAAAUGCUGUACCAUCUAAACAAAAUAACAGA
Long non-coding RNA from Hirundo rustica (Barn swallow), 556 nucleotides. RefSeq lists it as uncharacterized. NCBI's taxonomy places the organism in Eukaryota, Metazoa, Chordata, Aves, Passeriformes, Hirundinidae. The record is from RefSeq and is a predicted model, not a curated record. The transcript has 3 exons.